CCAAUAGCGUAUGUUAAAGUUGUUGCAGUUAAAAAGCUCGUAGUUGAAUUUUAGGCCUGGCCGGGCGGUCCGUCUUUGGCGAGUACUGUCUUGUUGUCGGGUCUUCCUUCUGGUUAACCAGUAUGCCCUUUAUUGGGUGUGUUGGGGAGCCAGGACCCUUACCUUGAAAAAAUUAGAGUGUUUAAAGCGGGCUAUUGCUUGAAUAGCUUAGCAUUGAAUAAUAGAAUAGGACGUUGUGGUUCUAUUUUGUUGGUUUCCAUGACCACCGUAAUGAUUAAUAGGGAUAGUUGGGGGCAUUAGUAUUCAAUUGUCAGAGGUGAAAUUCUUGGAUUUAUUGAAGACUAACUAUUGCGAAAGCAUUUGCCAAGGAUGUUUUCAUUAAUCAAGAACGAAAGUUAGGGGAUCGAAGACGAUCAGAUACCGUCGUAGUCUUAACCAUAAACUAUGCCGACUAGGAAUCGGGCGUCGUUAUUUUAAUGACUCGCUCGGCGCCUUAUG
Molecule: ribosomal RNA, 498 nt
Filed under: uncultured Glomeromycotina
Lineage: Eukaryota; Fungi; Glomeromycota
Description: partial small subunit ribosomal RNA
Rfam family: Eukaryotic small subunit ribosomal RNA
Source: RNAcentral